This is a long non-coding RNA of Amphibalanus amphitrite, 570 nucleotides long. RefSeq lists it as uncharacterized. The record is from RefSeq and is a predicted model, not a curated record. Lineage: Eukaryota; Metazoa; Arthropoda; Thecostraca; Balanomorpha; Balanidae. The transcript has 3 exons.
CAGGGGACCGCGCGUCCCCGUCCCGUUGUGCCGGCUCGCAGAGUGCGGACGGGUGUGUUGAGUGUGUGGUGUCCAGUGUCGUCUUGCGUCUCCUCUUCCGACCAUUGCUAAGUAAAAAAAAAAAAAAAACUGGCGCUGAAACGUUCUCUUCAAAAUGGUGGCGAUCACCGUCGUCACUCACUUGCCUGCGGCAAAGGGAAAAAGUGCUGCCGGUGGCGUCAUGUAGUGCCAUGCCUUGAAACACGGCCCGGAGUGCGAGGCUCGACGGGCGACUCAACCCCCAUGGCCCUGACUCAACCGCUCAAGAUGUGAAAAUGUCGGAGACUGAGCGGCGGCCGAGGGCGAGGUUGUGUGACGUGACGUGAUGUGUGAAGUGUAGCUGACUCGAAAAAAGUGAAGAGCUGUGCAUACUGCAUAUAUCAUAGAAAUACAUUUUCCCCCCGAAUAUUGACUGUGACGGUGACACUGGAAUAUUUUAGGUAAUUACGGGAUACGUGAUUUCGUACACGUAUAGGUCUGUCGACAACAACAUCGAGACAAUGUUGUAUCAACAUGGAAACAAUGUUGAAU